UAGGGAAUCUUCCACAAUGGACGCAAGUCUGAUGGAGCAACGCCGCGUGAGUGAAGAAGGUUUUCGGACCGUAAAGCUCUGUUGUUGGUGAAGAAGGAUAGAGGUAGUAACUGGCCUUUAUUUGACGGUAAUCAACCAGAAAGUCACGGCUAACUACGUGCCAGCAGCCGCGGUAAUACGUAGGUGGCAAGCGUUGUCCGGAUUUAUUGGGCGUAAAGCGAGCGCAGGCGGAAGAAUAAGUCUGAUGUGAAAGCCCUCGGCUUAACCGAGGAAUUGCAUCGGAAACUGUUUUCUUGAGUGCAGAAGAGGAGAGUAGAACUCCAUGUGUAGCGGUGGAAUGCGUAGAUAUAUGGAAGAAUACCAGUGGCGAAGGCGGCUCUCUGGUCUGCAACUGACGCUGAGGCUCGAAAGCAUGGGUAGCGAACAGGAUUAGAUACCCUGGUAGUCCAUGCCGUAAACGAUGAGUGCUAGUGUUGGGAGGCUUCCGCCUCUCAGUGCUGCAGCUAACGCAUUAAGCACUCCGCCUGGGGGAGUACGACCGCAAGGUUGAAAC
Molecule: ribosomal RNA, 553 nt
Filed under: uncultured bacterium
Lineage: Bacteria
Description: partial 16S ribosomal RNA
Rfam family: Bacterial small subunit ribosomal RNA
Source: RNAcentral